CUAAAAGCAAAGAUGGAGAGAAAAAUACUAAUGCUUUAACUUCAGAGAGCUAACAUUUGGUGGGAGUUAGUGUUUAGGCUGGUAUAUAAUGAUCACUCCUGAGCUGCCUCAUUGAAAGGAUUUCCUAGUAAAUAAGGCUGGUUGCCACCAAUAUAUGGCUAUGGUUCAAAUAGAGUUAUUUUUUUAACUUUAUUUCGACUUGAAUGAAGAUGCAAUUUUAUUUAUUGCAAAAUAGGGUGGUACCACGAAGAUUAUAAUCUUUCGUCCCUAUA
This 272-nucleotide non-coding RNA is filed under the name Maledivibacter halophilus. RNAcentral describes it as "Clostridium halophilum T-box sequence". It matches the Rfam family "T-box leader". Rfam says of the family: Uncharged tRNA acts as the effector for transcription antitermination of genes in the T-box leader family. T-boxes are found upstream of many aminoacyl-tRNA synthetase genes and some amino acid biosynthetic genes usually in Gram-positive bacteria. Lineage: Bacteria; Bacillati; Bacillota; Clostridia; Peptostreptococcales; Caminicellaceae. The record is from RNAcentral.